GAUGAACGCUGGCGGCGUGCUUAACACAUGCAAGUCGAGCGAGAAGUUUUGAAAAGAUUCUUCGGAUGAAAUUUAAAAUGGAAAGCGGCGGACGGGUGAGUAACGCGUAGGCAACCUGCCCCAUACAAAGGGAUAGCAUUUGGAAACGAAUAUUAAUACCUUAUGAAACUUAACUAGUGCAUGCUAGGUAGGUCAAAGAUUUAUCGGUAUGGGAUGGGCCUGCGUCUGAUUAGCUAGUUGGUGAGGUAACGGCUCACCAAGGCGACGAUCAGUAGCCGACCUGAGAGGGUGAACGGCCACAUUGGAACUGAGGCACGGUCCAAACUCCUACGGGAGGCAGCAGUGGGGAAUAUUGCACAAUGGGGGAAACCCUGAUGCAGCAACGCCGCGUGAACGAGGAAGGCCUUUGGGUCGUAAAGUUCUGUUCUAGGUGAUGAAAACUGACAGUAACCUAGGAGAAAGCCCCGGCUAACUCCGUG
RNAcentral lists this ribosomal RNA (479 nucleotides) under uncultured bacterium. RNAcentral describes it as "partial 16S ribosomal RNA". It matches the Rfam family "Bacterial small subunit ribosomal RNA", at positions 28 to 507 of the family's 1533-position model. The record is from RNAcentral.